This 506-nucleotide ribosomal RNA is filed under the name Planctomycetota bacterium. Its description in RNAcentral is "bacterial SSU rRNA". It matches the Rfam family "Archaeal small subunit ribosomal RNA", at positions 1 to 507 of the family's 1478-position model. Lineage: Bacteria; Pseudomonadati; Planctomycetota. The record is from RNAcentral.
AUCAGAAUCCGGUUGAUCCUGCCGGACCUGACUGCUAUCGGAUUGAUACUAAGCCAUGCAAGUCUUUGUAGUAAUACAAGGCAUACGGCUCAGUAACGCGUAGUCAACCUACCCUAUGGACGAGAAUAAUCUCGGGAAACUGAGCAUAAUUCUUGAUAGAUCAUAAUGCCUGGAAUGGUUAGUGGUUAAAAUGAUUCGUCGCCAUAGGAUGGGACUGCGGCCUAUCAGCUUGUUGGUGAGGUAAUGGCCCACCAAGGCGAUUACAGGUACGGGCUCUGAGAGGAGAAGCCCGGAGAUGGGUACUGAGACAAGGACCCAGGCCCUAUGGGGCGCAGCAGGCGAGAAAACUUUGCAAUGUGCGAAAGCACGACAAGGUUAAUCCGAGUGAUUUCUGCUAAAGGAAUCUUUUGUUAGUUCUAAAUAUACUAGUGAAUAAGGGGUGGGCAAGUUCUGGUGUCAGCCGCCGCGGUAAAACCAGCACCUCAAGUGGUCAGGAGGAUUAUUGG